UGUUUGUGUAGUGUGUGUAUAUAAUGCAGAGUGUGUGUUUGUGUAGUGUGCAUUAAAUACACACUACACAAACACACACUCUGCAUUAUAUACACAUACUACACAAAC
Pelobates cultripes (western spadefoot toad) is the source of this 108-nucleotide non-coding RNA. The record is from the annotation of a GenBank genome assembly. Lineage: Eukaryota; Metazoa; Chordata; Amphibia; Anura; Pelobatidae.